Molecule: small RNA, 250 nt
Filed under: Vigna angularis var. angularis
Lineage: Eukaryota; Viridiplantae; Streptophyta; Magnoliopsida; Fabales; Fabaceae
Description: Non-protein coding transcript
Source: RNAcentral
AGAAUCAGUAAUUCGCUAUGCAGUGAAUCAGAUGAUAAAGAAGAAGAUAUCGAGAAGACAUUGAGUGUGAUAAUUGACAAAUGCAAAGACAUAUGUGCAGAUAACAAAAAGAAAACAAUUGGGAAGAAAUCUAUUUCUUUCCUUCUGAAGAAGAUAUUUGUUUGCAGAAGUGGAUUUGCUCCAACGCCUAGCCUUAGAGAUACCCUUCAAGAGUCAAGAAUGGAGAAGCUUUUGAGGACAAUGCUUCACA